RNAcentral lists this ribosomal RNA (465 nucleotides) under uncultured bacterium. Its description in RNAcentral is "partial 16S ribosomal RNA". It matches the Rfam family "Bacterial small subunit ribosomal RNA", at positions 28 to 507 of the family's 1533-position model. The record is from RNAcentral.
GACGAACGCUGGCGGCGUGCUUAACACAUGCAAGUCGAACGGAAAGGCCCUGCUUGCAGGGUACUCGAGUGGCGAACGGGUGAGUAACACGUGGGUGAUCUGCCCUGCACUUCGGGAUAAGCCUGGGAAACUGGGCCUAAUACCGGAUAGGAGCCAUUUUUAGUGUGAUGGUUGGAAAGUUUUUUCGGUGUAGGAUGAGCUCGCGGCCUAUCAGCUUGUUGGUGGGGUAAUGGCCUACCAAGGCGGCGACGGGUAGCCGGCCUGAGAGGGUGGACGGCCACAUUGGGACUGAGAUACGGCCCAGACUCCUACGGGAGGCAGCAGUGGGGAAGAUUGCACAAGGGGCGCAAGCCUGAUGCAGCGACGCCGCGUGGGGGAUGACGGCCUUCGGGUUGUAAACUCCUUUCGCUAGGGACGAAGCUUUUUGUGACGGUACCUAGAUAAGAAGCACCGGCUAACUACGUG